GGUAUUUCUUCUCAGGUGUCUGGAAUGCUAACAACUCUUUCGUUACUCCAAGGUGACCCUCUAAGAUGGUUUCUUCAACACCUGUUUCCCCUGUCCUUUUUACUUCAUCCCUGAUCCUUUUCAGCCAGUCAAUUUCAUUAUUGAGAAGAACUUCAGCAUUGGGCACAUUAAUAUUACUGUUGUAAGCAUAGUUAAGAAGAUGUCUUAAGAGAGUGAAGUAGUCUCCCGAAUGCUUAGCUCUCUCUCUGGCAGUACUCCCCAGAACUGUAAACAGCAGAGUAAUGAAGAAAAGGAGAGGUCUCUGUCCCAUGCAACACCUGGUAGCCAUUAAAAAGAACUGCUCCUGUGCCAUCUGACGAACAAUUUUGCUGUGACAGUGCAAUAGCAAAUCAAUGAUAAACGUCUGCCAUGCUUUUUCUUUACUUAGAGCAUCCAGUGCUGUUGGAAUCAAAGCAAAACAUAGGGUCAUCACCUCCAGUGCUUCACAGCAAACUUGUUCAUCUUCCAUGUCUGGUUCAUUUCCUGCGUUUGUCUUUUCAUAGAUUUUACUGAUUUCCUCAUUAGAGCUGAACACAAGUUGAACUGACCCACAACCAGACGCCCAGACAAUUUUUUGCACUGCCCUAAUAACACAGAUAUCAGGUAUAUAUUUUGAAGCCUCAUCAGAUAUUUGCUGUG
RNAcentral lists this long non-coding RNA (678 nucleotides) under Gallus gallus (chicken). The record is from RNAcentral. Lineage: Eukaryota; Metazoa; Chordata; Aves; Galliformes; Phasianidae.